Molecule: ribosomal RNA, 113 nt
Filed under: Acentrogobius sp. TSUMAGURO-SUJIHAZE
Lineage: Eukaryota; Metazoa; Chordata; Actinopteri; Gobiiformes; Gobiidae
Also listed under: 1 other name
Description: partial 16S ribosomal RNA
Source: RNAcentral
GCCCCAACAGCUAGCUCACCCAAAUAAUUCCAACAAACAACAUUAAUAACCCCGAAAAUAAUUUUCCCAAUGCAACAAACCAUUUUACCAUCCUAGUAUGGGAGACAGAAAAG